CCCAAUCUCUUAGAAGCAGAGGGGCGCUAUUGUGUUCGUUACGCGUUUUAUACUCAGCAGCGAAGAGGUCAAAGGAAUGCAAUAGUCUAGCCGUCGUUCACUGCUCCCCUUUUGCGCUGGAGAUUUAGGGGUGACCCCGGGUGAGAGAGGCGACUGAGCUGUGCUGUGUUACAAAGAGAUCCGCAGCGUUACUCAGCCUCAGAAGAAAUCGGUGUCAACCAGGCCUGGCCCAUCAAUUCCAGCAGGAAGGUGAACACUCUCCUUAUCCCUAAAACAAUGCUCCUGUGCAGCGAUGUGAUAUAAGGGAACGAACCCUGACUGCACACAAGGAUGGGACCUGGAUUCCUGGACUGGAACACUGGAAUACAGACAGGAACAUGAGAACAGGAAGCCAGAACACAGGAACAGUGAUC
This is a long non-coding RNA of Chelonoidis abingdonii (Abingdon island giant tortoise), 413 nucleotides long. RefSeq lists it as uncharacterized. The record is from RefSeq and is a predicted model, not a curated record. Lineage: Eukaryota; Metazoa; Chordata; Testudines; Testudinidae.